CAUUUUCAAACAACCAACCAUUAUCCAUUCUCCCUCUUCAUUCCAUUUCCUCUAAAAAUACACUAAUACAAAUUUUAUAUACUUAUCUCCCACUUUUUGGAGGUCCCACAAUCCCACUAACAAAAAUUUAAGAGCCCCACCCCCACUACAAAAGUGCUUCCAUCAUUAUCCACUACCCCCACCAUCGAUACCAAAAAGCAGAGCAUAUCAAGUAAGCUUUGACAAUUCCCCCUCCUUUACUUGAACCCUGUUUGACAAAAGCUAGUUAUCAAGAAAAGGCAAAAAAGGCAAGAGCUAUGGCAUCUGACUUUGAUUGCAAUUUGAAGCAAGGCAGAGAGAACAACUUAUUUUCUGGGGUUAGAAUGGGACAAAUACGCUGUGGGACCCUUGGUGACCCUGGAUUGGAUUAGAUUGGAUUGGAUGGGACCACGGGAUGAGUACACUUUUCUAAAGUCUACGGAGGAGGAUUAGUCUCAGGCUUCACAAGAUUAGGGGAUUCCGGUGGUUGCGAAUGGUAAAUUGCCGUGGCCAGUGAGAUCGGCAUUAUGCAAAGAGCCUUUGAUUGAAGGAACUGCAUGGCAGCCCCAACAUUUUCUUCCAUGAGCUUAGCUACC
RNAcentral lists this long non-coding RNA (614 nucleotides) under Citrus sinensis (sweet orange). RNAcentral describes it as "long non-coding RNA (CSIN_LNC002368)". Lineage: Eukaryota; Viridiplantae; Streptophyta; Magnoliopsida; Sapindales; Rutaceae. The record is from RNAcentral.